CGUGAAGAAAAGUUGAAAAGUACUUUGAAGAGUUAACGAGUACGUGAAACCGUUCAGAGGUAAACCUAAGAAACCCAAAAAAUCGAACGGGGAGAUUCAUCGUCAACGAAACUGGCUUCGCGUCGGUGGGCGAUAACCCCGCGGUGUGUCCUAAGCGGCACGCGCGUGCGCGCACGGUACCGAACGCCGAUGUCCGGUUUUCGUCGUCGUGCACUUCUCUCCUAGUAGAACGUCGCGACUCGCUGUGUGUCGGUCACCGACCCGGGUGCGGUUACUG
RNAcentral lists this ribosomal RNA (277 nucleotides) under Pseudomyrmex aff. flavicornis-a MAS-2013. Its description in RNAcentral is "partial 28S ribosomal RNA". Lineage: Eukaryota; Metazoa; Arthropoda; Insecta; Hymenoptera; Formicidae. The record is from RNAcentral.